Molecule: ribosomal RNA, 274 nt
Filed under: uncultured bacterium
Lineage: Bacteria
Description: partial 16S ribosomal RNA
Rfam family: Bacterial small subunit ribosomal RNA
Source: RNAcentral
AUACGGAGGGUGCGAGCGUUAAUCGGAAUUACUGGGCGUAAAGCGUACGUAGGCGGUUUGCUAAGUCAGAUGUGAAAGCCCCGGGCUUAACCUGGGAACUGCACUUGAUACUGGCAGACUAGAGUAUGAUAGAGGGGGGUAGAAUUCCUGGUGUAGCGGUGAAAUGCGUAGAUAUCAGGAGGAAUACCAGUGGCGAAGGCGGCCCCCUGGAUCAAUACUGACGCUGAGGUACGAAAGCGUGGGGAGCGAACAGGAUUAGAAACCCCAGUAGUCC